AGGUUACCGCCGAGAGGCCGCGUCCUCAGCUGGUCCUAGACAUGCGUGGCGUCGGGGCUGUGGCACGGUCGGGUCCGGGGACACUUGUUUAACAAGACAUCUGCCCAUGUCCCUGGCCCAUCUCAUUGGCUGCAGCACAUCACAGUGGACCUUCUGCCUCCUCCCAGAUGCCCAGGGACAGUGAUCUGGAAGGAAGGGGCUUGAGGCUGUUUUCCUAGAACUCGACUUGAAUGCACCAAGGAAAGGCCAUUUGUGGGGACAUAGCAAGAAGGCAGCUGUCUGCAAGCCAGGAGGAGAACCCUCACCAGAAACCUCACAGAAAUCGGCCAACACCCUCAUCUCGGGCUUCCAGCUUCAGAACAACGAGAAAACAAAUUUCUGUUGUGUCCUGGUUCCCAUUUGUAAUUGGCACCCUAAUGAAACCGUUUUCUGUAGCCCUGGAAAUGGCUGAAAAUGAGGGGAGGGAAAUAAAGUGCUAUAAUUCAGAGCAUGGAGCACACCUUCCUGGUUCACCUGAGCUGGAUUCGGAGAGGUAAAAUGGCCAUUACCUCGUCUAAGCUGCCACUUACAGACACAGUACAGGAUGAGGCCCAGACCCACAGAGACAACGAUGAUGGCCACAGCUAAGAUGAUCCAGAAAUUAUUCCUCCACCAGCUCAUUGCAGUGGAAUCCUGAGAAGAAUGGAGAGAGAAGAAUGAGAGGGCAAAAGCAGAUGGCUACACCGAGAACUCACGCCAGCCCAACACACUUUGAUCUCGAGGCCUCUGGAAGGGAAGGUGCCUAAUGAACUACUGAAAGCCAGAGAUGCAAUGACAAAGCAGUCGUACCAGGGCCCCAGGCUGCAAUCCCCUGGCCCAGUGCUGAUCGGUGGCUCCCAGGGACACGCCCUGAUGCCAGCGCUGGCAGAUGUCUGCUGUGAAGAGAGCAGGAAACUGUCCCUUGGAAAGCUGAGAUGCUUACCUGAACUGUGAAAGUAUCCAUAUGUGAGCAGCUAAGGAGACAGCAGUGGCUGGAGUGCUGCAGCUCAGGCACAGCUGACGAGUUUGCCGUGAGCAUUCCUGGAUGUGGCAACCUCAGUCUCAAGAAGAGCGACAGGACGCCAGCUCCCAUGCAGAGACAGAUCCAGGUAAGAAACCAGCUCAUGUGUGACAAACUCACCAUCUCACCAUGAAGGUGACUCUUGAAAGCUCCUGUGCACCUUGGAACUGCUGAGACAUCUUCUGCUUGGAGGAGGCAAGGGACAGGCUUCCUGUUUCUAAAGGCGUGUGAGUGGCGACCUUGAGAAAUGUGGCCAGUGGAGCAUUUUGACUGAGUUGGGUCCCCUCGUGCAAUACUGUGAGACAGAACUCCCAGCGAGGCCCACGGCCUCUGACCAUGGGGGUUGGAGUGGGGAAACCAAUUAGCCAUUUUGUUGAAUUGGCUGGUUCUGACUCAAAUGAGCAGUCACAUUAGUAAAAAUAGGCAAACGGAUGUGCAUUGUAUUUGCCCAGAGCGAAUGAGUUGUUAUCCAUUUCAGUAAUAAUGAUAACCAGAUAUGUCUGAUAAAUAUCUGAUAAUGU
Molecule: long non-coding RNA, 1560 nt
Filed under: Homo sapiens (human)
Lineage: Eukaryota; Metazoa; Chordata; Mammalia; Primates; Hominidae
Description: HSALNT0388186
Source: RNAcentral